CCACUUCUUGUGUAAUGUUUUCACUUCAAACAAAAACAAGGGGGUUAAACCCUGAGCCACCUUGGACUGGCCUUCUGGGAAAGGUGUGUCUUUUGCAUUAAAUCCUCCCUACUCGAAUUACCCUGCUGCCAUGGCCCCGGAGCUGGAGAGGAAGUGAAAGUAACUUGCAAGCUAAUGUUACAGCUGCCAGAAACAAACACAGAGCAGACGAAGCCAACAAGCUAGCUAACUUGUUUACCAAUAAACUGUCCUUGUAGCAGGGAAAACAGAAGCAAGAAUCAUUCUUGGUUCUUGGAUCUGAAUCAAGUCGACCCCAAAAGAAAAAAAGAAGCAAGCAAAAGACUGCCCAUGACCAAUCCAUAAACCGGAUAAACAUUGGAAUUAAUUUUGAAAGGUGGAAGAGUGAAUCCAAAAUGGUCAUCGUUCUCAUGGACUUGUAGGGAGAUACUGGUGGAGACAGUCUGAUUUCGAGGGAACCUGAGGUAGAAAAAUCAACACCAAAAGAGAGCAGGGCCGUAAGGAUGCAUUGCGGUCAGACUGGCUAUGAUGAUCUUCUAGUAAGGAGUCAAAGACCAGGCUCCCAGAACGUGAAGGCAGACGCAUUGGAUAGACAGACAGCGAACGCCAGCACUUUCGCACAGCCAUUGAAGAGGAGUGGGACAACAUUUCACAGGCCACAAUCAACAGCCUGAUCAACUCUACAGUAUGCGAAGGAGAUGUGUCACACUGCAUGAGGCAAAUGAUGGUCACACCAGAUAAUGACUGGUUUUCUGAUCCACGGCCAUACCUUUUUUUUAAGGUAUCUGUGACCAACAGUCAUGUGAAAUGCAUAGAUUAGGGCCUGAUUAAUUUAUUUCAAUUUACAAAUUUCCUUAGUUGAACUGUAACUCAAACAAGUGUCUCCUCCUCCAGGUAGACCCAUUGUAGCAGCGAUCGAAUCUGAUAUCCAACAUUUCUAAGUUUGUGGAUUACCACAUUAAACCGAUGGUUGCGAAUCUCCCAUCUUAUGUCAAAGACACCAGUCACAUUGAUAAAGGGCUUAGGAAGGAUACCAGAG
RNAcentral lists this long non-coding RNA (1057 nucleotides) under Salmo salar (Atlantic salmon). RNAcentral describes it as "lncRNA (ENSSSAG00000122106.1, ENSSSAG00020069643.1, ENSSSAG00075039194.1)". The record is from RNAcentral. Lineage: Eukaryota; Metazoa; Chordata; Actinopteri; Salmoniformes; Salmonidae.